RNAcentral lists this non-coding RNA (66 nucleotides) under Ornatilinea apprima. RNAcentral's name for it is "Fluoride sequence". It matches the Rfam family "Fluoride riboswitch aptamer (crcB RNA motif)". The record is from Rfam by way of RNAcentral. Lineage: Bacteria; Bacillati; Chloroflexota; Anaerolineae; Anaerolineales; Anaerolineaceae.
UGAUGAUUGAGCGAUGAGGCUCGCUCUUGAACCAAACGCUGAUAAGCUGAUGGCCUCUACCAGAUU